UACGAGGGCUCCAAGCGUUAUCCGGAAUUACUGGGCGUAAAGGGUGUGUAGGCGGUUUUGUUAGUCGGUUGUUAAAGCUCCCCGCUUAACGGGGAAAGUGCAAUCGAAACGGCAAAUCUAGAAGAUGCGAGAGGUGAACAGAACUCAUGGUGUAGGGGUGAAAUCCGUUGAUAUCAUGGGGAAUACCAAAUGCGAAGGCAGUUCACUGGCGCAUUCUUGACGCUGAAACACGAAAGCGUGGGUAGCGAAUGGG
RNAcentral lists this ribosomal RNA (253 nucleotides) under uncultured bacterium. Its description in RNAcentral is "partial 16S ribosomal RNA". It matches the Rfam family "Bacterial small subunit ribosomal RNA", at positions 524 to 776 of the family's 1533-position model. The record is from RNAcentral.